GUAUUAUCUGAAAAAUAACAAUGAAAAAUGCAUUGAGAGGCAUUUUACUGAUGUGAUCUGUGAUGAUAAAGUUAAACUAGCCUGUGAUGUCAAAACAUGGCAUCAAAUAUUAGGACACUGUAAUGUAAAUGAUGUUCUGAACUUACAAAAUGUCGUUGAGGGCAUGAAAGUCACUGACAACAGUAAAAUAGAGUGUGACAUAUGCACAGAAGGAAAAUUCAUUAACAGCAGAAACAAAGAAUCAGAUGUUAAAGCUGGAGCACCACUACAGUUAGUCCAUACGGACUUAUCAGGCCCCAUUGAUCCUGCAGGCUUAGAGGGACACAGAUAUGCAAUUUGUUUUACUGAUGAUUUCUCUGGAUUAGCGACUGUCUAUUUUCUGAAAAACAAGAGUGAUACAACUAAAGCAACACAGAAAUUUCUAGCUGACUGUGCACCUUAUGGCAAUGUUAAGUGCAUUAGAUCGGACAACGGUACUGAAUACACAAGUGAUUCAUUUCAAACACUGCUCAGAGAAAAGGGUAUCAGACACGAGACCUCAUCACCAUACUCCCCACAUCAAAAUGGAACAGCAGAAAGACAGUGGAGGACGCUAUUUGAGAUGGGAAGGUGCAUGUUGUUAGAAAAGGGUUUGCCAAAAGAACUAUGGCCUUAUGCAGUACAGUGCGCUGCCCACAUUCGCAACAGGUGCUACAAUAACCGAACUAAAAGUACCCCAUAUUACAUGAUGACUGGAAGAAAACCUAAUCUGUCUAAAAUGUGGAUUUUUGGAUCAAACUGUUACACUUACAAUGACAAUCACAAGAAAUUAGACUCAAAAGGGGAAAAAGGAAUGUUUGUAGGAUACAGCAAAAACAGCCCAGCCUACUUAGUGUAUCACCCACAGACAAGAAAAGUGUCCAGACACAGACUAGUGAAGUUCAUUAAAGAAAAUGGCGUUAAUCAACAAACACAGACAAAUGAGUGGGAAGUAGAAACCCAGGAAAAACAGACAGACAAAAGACACGUUGAGACUCUGUUAAUCCAAGGCAUCACUGAAAACAUCAAUGCAGGUGAAGAUGAGGAAAACACUCUAGAUGAAACACAAAAUGAGAAUUUUUCUGAUAACAUGAUAAGAAAUAAAAAUGAAGAUGAGGAAAACAAAACAAAACAAAAUGACCGGUAUCCGAAAAGAGAGAAAAGACCACCAAAAUACUUUGAGGAUUACGUACCAGAUUCCAAAAUCAAAGAUGUAACACAAAUAACUGUUGAUUUUUGUUACAGGGCUGUGUGCGGUAUCCCUCAAACAUUCAGUGAGGCUCAAAAAUCAACACAAUCAGAAAGAUGGAAACAAGCAAUGACAGAAGAGAUAAACUCACUUAAAGAAAAUGAUACAUUUGAACUGAGCAUUUUACCAAAAGGUAGAAACACAGUGGGAGGAAAGUGGGUUUAUACCAUCAAAGAAAAUGAAGAGAAAGAAAAGAUCUUCAAAGCUAGAUAUGUAGCAAAGGGCUACAGCCAAACAGAAGGUAUAGAUUACCACGAAACCUUUGCACCAACAGCAAACAUCACAUCUGUGAGAGUGUUAAUGCAGUUAGCAGUUCAAAACAACCUUAAAGUACAUCAGAUGGAUGUCAAAACAGCUUUCUUGCACGCUCCAAUUGAUGAAGAAAUUUACAUAGAACAGCCAGAGGGCUAUGAAGAACACACAGGAACAGGAGAGAAGUAUGUGUACAAAUUAAAGAAAUCCCUGUAUGGGUUAAAACAAUCAGGAAGAAACUGGUACAAACUUUUAAAUGACCAUCUCGAACAAAACGAUUUUGAAAGGAAUCCUGCUGAUCAUUGUGUUUACAGAAAACAAACAGAAAAUGCCAGUGUUAUUGUUCUCAUUUGGGUGGAUGAUUUGAUCAUUGCUGCAAGCAGCAUUGAUUUUUUGAACAAUUUCAAAGAAACGAUGAGAUCCAAAUUUAACAUGAAAGAUUUGGGCAAAAUAAAUUAUUUUUUAGGUAUACAUUUUAAGCAAGAAGAAGAUGAAAUUAAAAUGAGCCAAAAGAAAUACGUCCUGAAAGUGUUGGAAAAAUACAGAAUGUCAGAUUCCAAACCGAGAUCCACCCCAUGUGAGCAAAGUGCUAAUUUAAAUGAAAAUAAUGGGGAUGACAAAACAAACACUGUAAAUCCUACACACUAUCGUGAGAUAGUAGGUAGUCUGAUUUAUGCAAUGACCUGCACCAGACCAGACAUCAGUUGGGUAGUGAGUAAACUAUCCCAAACAUUAGCUAAACCUGCGACAGAAGACCUGGUGAAUGCUAAACAUGUUUUAAGAUACCUCAAAGGUACAUGUGACUAUGAGCUAACAUUCAAGAAAAACAACGAAGACUUGAACCUCAUUGCAUACAGUGACUCGGACUGGGCAUCCUCAGUUGAGGACAGACGCAGCACCACAGGCUAUUGUUUUAGCUUAACAUCACAAGGUCCAGCUAUUUCUUGGAAAUCCAGGAAACAGCCAACUGUAGCUCUUUCCACAUGUGAGGCUGAGUACAUUGCUUUGACAGCCACUACUCAAGAAAGCAUGUAUCUAACCCAACUGUUAAAUGGCAUUGACAACAAAAAGUACAGCUGUACAAAAAUCCAUGGUGAUAAUCAAGGGGCAAUCGCAUUGUGUAAAAAUCCUGUGAACAGACAGAGAUCUAAACAUAUUGAUGUAAAGUACCAUUUCAUACGUGAUGCGUUGAAAGAAGGGAAAAUCAAUGUGAUGUACUGUCCAUCUGAAAACAUGGUUGCCGACAUCCUUACCAAACCUGCACCCAAAGCUAAGUUUGUUAAAUUCAAAAAAUGGUUCUUUGGACACUAAAUACUGUGAAGCAAGGAUGAUGAGAACAAGGGGGAGUGUUGGAGUAUGUUCUCAAUCAGCCUUGUCUGUGUGAUGUUAUAUGUUUCUUUUAGCACUUUAUUUUGAUAGGCACGGAACGUGGUUCUAGAUCCUGCUGAGUGUGUUUUUACUUCCUUUGUUUUGUGAGUAUUUCCG
RNAcentral lists this long non-coding RNA (3004 nucleotides) under Gouania willdenowi (blunt-snouted clingfish). Its description in RNAcentral is "lncRNA (ENSGWIG00000013437.1)". The record is from RNAcentral. Lineage: Eukaryota; Metazoa; Chordata; Actinopteri; Blenniiformes; Gobiesocidae.